Molecule: ribosomal RNA, 292 nt
Filed under: uncultured microorganism
Description: partial 16S ribosomal RNA
Rfam family: Bacterial small subunit ribosomal RNA
Source: RNAcentral
CUGCCAGCAGCCGCGGUAAUACCUAAGUGGCAAACGUUGUCCGGAUUUAUUGGGCGUAAAGCGAGCGCAGGCGGUUUCUUAAGUCUGAUGUGAAAGCCCCCGGCUCAACCGGGGAAGGUCAUUGGAAACUGGGAGACUUGAGUGCAGAAAAAGAAAAUGGAAUUCCAUGUGUAGCGGUGAAAUGCGUAGAUAUAUGGAGGAACACCAGUGGCGAAGGCGGCUCUCUGGUCUGUAACUGACGCUGAGGCUCGAAAGCGUGGGGAGCAAACAGGAUUAGAUACCCUGGUAGUCC